Nyctereutes procyonoides (raccoon dog) is the source of this 572-nucleotide long non-coding RNA. RefSeq lists it as uncharacterized. The transcript has 3 exons. The record is from RefSeq and is a predicted model, not a curated record. NCBI's taxonomy places the organism in Eukaryota, Metazoa, Chordata, Mammalia, Carnivora, Canidae.
GGAGCACAAGCAUUGAAAGUUGUGUUCUGGAAAGGUGCUGGAGCUCAGUAAAUAGAGAAGCCACUGAACAUUCCUGAACCUGAAAGAGAGAGAGAUAAUCAAUCUGUAUUUUAGAAAUGGAUCAAAAUUGAAGAUGUAUGGAAGAUGAAGAAACUAAAGUUCUUAGGAAUUACUCUGUAAGAGGUGGCAACUGGCACAUGGAGGAGCAGCUGCUGGGUCCCUUGCUAGAGCUUCACGUUGAUGCCUUGGCAACGAUCCAGCUCAUGACGUCAUGGCCCUUGAGGACUGUUCACAAAUAGCCAUAGCCUGGAAGGUGGUUUGGAGUUUAUGUUUAAGAAUUUCUGCCUCCCAUUUCGACUCUUGGAGUGCUAGCUCUGCGCUAGGGGCUCUUCUAGAAACUGGAAGUACAGUCUGAAGGAAAAAUCAGGCAGUUUCUGCCUUCCUGAGCUCUAGUCUAUUGAAAAACCAGUUCUGGGACACCUGGGUGGCUCAGUGGUUGAGUGUCUGCCUUCGGCUCAGGGCGUGAUCCUGGAGUCCCGGGAUUGAGUCCCACAUCGGGCUCCCUGCAUGGA